CACGCCCUUGGACAAAGCUGACAGUUAAGCUGGCAGUGCAUCUUUGAGCUACGUACUUAUUUUCUGCACUAAAGCAUGCUACCAUUUGCAGUUGUUGAAUUUCUGGAUGGUGGAGGUGUAUCCAUAAUUCCUUGCAAGUGGUUUACAGGACCGGCAGAAGAUUCUUGUUUCUGGCCACCAGGGAGAGUCAAUAUCAAUAAGGCUGUAAAGGAUGGAGUUACUCCAGAUGCAAACUGGUCACAGUACAGAGUUCGCAUCUUGGGGAAAGCUGAAAACUAUGAAAAUGCCAGGGUGAAACUGUGGAGGUCUGAAACAACCUCUGAUCUGCAGACUGAGUCGCAUUCUGGAAGCAGAUUGGGAAAAGGGAAGCGGAAAAGCAGGCCAGUGAUCCUGUCGAGCUCCGAUGAGGAUUGGGACAACACUGCGGAACAGCCAGAGACCUCACCACCAUCAUCAAUGGAGAAUAGACAUUCAAGUGAAACUCCCCUCCUGAACAUCACUCAUCCAUUUGUUCAGCCGCCACAACCCUCAACUCCUUCACCUGUGGUUUCACAACCAGUUCCAAGACAACUUCUACAAGCCACCAAUACCAGCAUGUUUGUGCGUGUUCUAACCCUCCUGGAAGACAUUAAGGACACUCAGAUGGUCCACAGUCUCUCCUCAAACAGCAUGAUGGAUCAGUUGCUGCAGUAUUACCUGAGGGUGCUGUAUUUCCCCUCCGGACAGUAGCAGAUGUGGAAGCGCUGGAGCAAAAACUGGCAGACCCUGUCUUCCUAAAAUAAGUGGUUGCUGUUGUGGCAGAGAUCGGAGGGAGCACUAUUGAUGAAGCCACAAGAAGAAUGAUGGCUUUCAUUAUGGACAAUGCUCUUUCCAGGCAAUAUAACGUCGUUGGGUGCCAUGGAAAGUGGGAAUUUCAAGGGCUUAAAGUUUUUGAAGUGCUAUAUGGCAGCUUGAAAAAAAAUGCCCUUACCAGCCAGAUUACCAGAAAAGAGGCAGAAAAGGCAGCAUCCAAGUGGUUUAUUGGUGCAAGAGAUAGAGGAGGAAACCGCACGGCAAGGGCACAGUGUCGUGUGCACGAAAGGACCAAUGGAUUGGUGAAUGAGUGAGUAGCUGUUGUACAGGUGAUUUAAAUUAUAGCUUACUUUCAUUAUCCAAAAUCCCAUCUGGUCAAACACACUUGGGGCCACCAUGGAAACUGAGGACAAAAAUAGCUGGGUCCCAGGUUGGUAACCCAAGUGGGCCCCAAGUAUCAGACCCGCUUCUAUCCAUCUGGGCCCCACACUCAUUUGUUGGCUGGGGCUGAUUUGGGGCCCAUCCAGGUCCCAUCAUUAAUCCAUCUGGGCAAACACAUUUGGGGCCACCAUGGAAACUGAGGACAAAAUUAGCUGGGUCCCAGGUGGGUAACCCAAGUGGGCCCCAAAUAUCAGAUCUGCUUCUACACAUCUGGGCCCCACAUAUGUGUGUUGACUGGGAAUGAAUCUAAGCAUCAUCAGCUAAAAUUCAUAUGAAUCUCUGCUAGACUUGUAACCGAACUCUGACCAUUAACCACAGCCACUGUGCACCAGUCACAUACUGUUCUUUACUUUAAAUACAUCACAAUACAGCAAACUAACCUGUUUAUCCUGCACUAACCUGCAGAGGAUUUUCAUGCAACCUUUAAGUAACACAGUAAGUCUGCUUCAGUUUGUUUUGCAUCUUUCACAGUAUGAAAAAACACAACAUCACAUGUACAGAUCCAAUAUCUGAUCUGAUUUUUUUUUUUUUUUUAAACACGAGGACUUAGAUGUUCAUGUGUUACUGUUUAGGCUGAAAUUGAUUUGACAUUUGAAAGCCUGCAGUGAUGUGAAAUAAUAACUCCCUCCCUUUAAUGCACCAAAGCAAAAAUAACAAGCCUGUUUUGAACAUGCAAGGAAAAGAAAGUACAGAUAUUUGUUUCAAAAUGUAGGAAGUUACGGUAAAAAGUUGUCAGAAAAAAAACUACGCAAGUACAGUACAGAUUCUACUUAAAAUUCUACUUAAGUACAGUAACAAAGUAUUUGUACUUGGUUAGUUUGUACUUUGUUGCUUGCUUCCCACCUCUGUCAUCCACAGUCCACUAUGCUCCACCCAGGCUAGUCCACCUUUGCAUUUUCAGACCUGGAACCUAUAAGACUGGCACUGUUGACAGAAAACUUGCAGUCUGAAUGGUGUGAAACAUUGGGUAAUUAUAAAGUAAAAAAGUUGCCAUGUCAUCAGAGUGCUUAAAUUCUGUGACAAAUGGAGACAAGUCAGUCUUUGUAAAAGAGCUGGAAAAAUAUAUUUUAGAACUUAACAGCUAGAAACAUGGUUGCCCCCCAAAAUCUAUGCAACCAUGUCCUGUUCCCUAGAACCCUUGUCACUUGCAAUUACUGAACUGUUUGGAUGAAUUGGAUAUGAAUUGGAUAAACUGCUUAUUCACAGGAUUUAAUCAUUUACGUAUAUCUAUUGGCCUUUAAUAGCUCACACCACUUAACUCUGUCACUGCAAAUUAAACAUCUUUCAGGUACAUCAUAUGACCCCUAAACAAAAAUUGAAAAUAGUUUUAGGUUAUGCUGUCAAAUGGAAUCUCCUGCUGUGGAACUACUAACUUUGAAAUACUAUGCGCCACCAUCAGGAUACAGUGUACAGUGGAUGGUGUGUAGAGAUAAAGAAGAUGAGGUGAUGGUGACACUGAUGACACAAACCAUUAAGUUGCCAAUGAGGCAGCAGAUCUCAGGCUUUUGGGAUUCCCUCCCCAGAUUCAAAUGUUUUUGUUCUACAUUUUUCUUCUUCUUGUUUUUGAGUCUCUCUUUUUGAGUCCUCCUCCAUCAUUUCCAUCAGUUGAGGUAGUGUGUAUUACCCUAGAAACACAUUCUCCGAUGUCUGUCCAUUGUGGCUUAAUGACACAAACAGAGGAGACAAAGUGUUAUAUGUUAUGUUAUAUGGGUUUUUGUUUCAUUUCUUAAAGAAUUUUUGUGUUCUGGACAAAAUAGACUCUGAUCUGUAUGAUAGCUGUUUUACAUAUGCAGGAGCACUUCUAUAAAAGAAUCUAUGUAACAUCACCUCAUUAUAAUUUUCUAAGAAAAUAUAGUUGUAAGCUAGUUAAGAAUUUCCUUAUCUCAGUAUAACAGAUGAUUUUUGUGGUAACAACAGAAACAGCCCAAGAAAACAGAACCUAUAAAAACCUAUAUCUCCUGAGAUAACAAGACUUUUAACCCAUUAUCACAAAAAGGAAUCUAUCUAUAAUCACCUUCUCAGUCAUUAACUCCUAAUCUCAAGGUAAUUAUUGCUCAUAUUUAAGAUACUGUUAUAUACAAAAUUAUCUCAUAAUCUCAAUAAUUAAUUAAAUCAUUUUUCUAACAGCUCC
Oreochromis niloticus (Nile tilapia) is the source of this 3364-nucleotide long non-coding RNA. RefSeq lists it as uncharacterized. NCBI's taxonomy places the organism in Eukaryota, Metazoa, Chordata, Actinopteri, Cichliformes, Cichlidae. The transcript has 7 exons. The record is from RefSeq and is a predicted model, not a curated record.